UACGUAGGGUGCAAGCGUUGUCCGGAAUUAUUGGGCGUAAAGAGCUCGUAGGCGGUUCGUCGCGUCGGCUGUGAAAUCCCGAGGCUCAACCUCGGGUCUGCAGCCGAUACGGGCGGACUGGAGUUCGGCAGGGGAGACUGGAAUUCCUGGUGUAGCGGUGAAAUGCGCAGAUAUCAGGAGGAACACCGGUGGCGAAGGCGGGUCUCUGGGCCGAUACUGACGCUGAGGAGCGAAAGCGUGGGGAGCGAACAGG
This 253-nucleotide ribosomal RNA is filed under the name uncultured bacterium. RNAcentral describes it as "partial 16S ribosomal RNA". It matches the Rfam family "Bacterial small subunit ribosomal RNA", at positions 524 to 776 of the family's 1533-position model. The record is from RNAcentral.